CUCGUCGGCCAUAGGAGACAGGGAAACACCCGGACUCAUUCCGAACCCGGAAGUUAAGCCUGUCUCCGUUACGUGCUCCGUAAGGCCGCAAGGCCUUGCAGGGCACGUAAGCCGACGAGG
Molecule: ribosomal RNA, 120 nt
Filed under: Candidatus Marsarchaeota G1 archaeon BE_D
Lineage: Archaea; Thermoproteati; Thermoproteota
Also listed under: 1 other name
Source: RNAcentral